Rhododendron vialii is the source of this 743-nucleotide long non-coding RNA. RefSeq lists it as uncharacterized. The record is from RefSeq and is a predicted model, not a curated record. The transcript has 2 exons. NCBI's taxonomy places the organism in Eukaryota, Viridiplantae, Streptophyta, Magnoliopsida, Ericales, Ericaceae.
CCCAAGGAUUGGAGCAGUGAGGUAGAUCCAUAUGGCUUUAAAGUUGUUUGCAGCUAUUGCUGGUCCCAGAGUUCUCACUGGAUUCAUCGAAGCUCCCGUGGUCUCCCUACAUCAUUUGUCAGAAAGGCAAAUGCUCCAAGAUUAAGGAAUUACUCUCAAAGGAGGGGGAGGCAAUGCGCAGGAGACAGAGGGCAAUGCGCAGGAGACGGUGGGUAAGGUGCCCUCUUCCACGGCCCAAGUUUCAACACUGAAGCACUUGCAGCUCUUGAGAAGAGAUGGUGAUCUCUUGUUGCCGGUAUGACUACUCUCUGGCUUGAACCCGCCAAACAGUGCAGCCCCGCUUGUACCUGGUGUCAUUGGUGUUGAAGGAGCUGAUGCAACAUCUUCAGACUCCAUCACAACCAAAGGAAAAGCUUAAAACCAAAGACAAUUUAAAGGUAACUGAAAUACUCAGAGAAGCUUGAGCUCUCACUUCUAAGGACUGAGAGCUUCACAUGUUAACAUAUAAAUAGUUAGAAGAGUUGACUCCCAAGAGAUCAAGAGAAAAAAGAAAAGAAAAUAAGUUAGUGGAGGAAAUUGAAAUGUGGUGAAAUAAAGUGACUUUUAGAGAAGUGGACGGUGGGAACUAUCAACUAUGGUAUGCGGGAUUCAAGAAAAAAUCUUCGAAUUUCAGACAUGAGUCGUGGUUUUCCUGUCCCUUCCACUUGAUUACAUGCAAGUGUAAAUAAAUACUCAUUAUUACA